UACGUAGGGUGCAAGCGUUAAUCGGAAUUACUGGGCGUAAAGCGUGCGCAGGCGGCUUUGCAAGACAGAUGUGAAAUCCCCGGGCUUAACCUGGGAACUGCAUUUGUGACUGCAUGGCUGGAGUGCGGCAGAGGGGGAUGGAAUUCCGCGUGUAGCAGUGAAAUGCGUAGAUAUGCGGAGGAACACCGAUGGCGAAGGCAAUCCCCUGGGCCUGCACUGACGCUGAUGCGCGAAAGCGUGGGGAGCAAACAGG
Molecule: ribosomal RNA, 253 nt
Filed under: uncultured bacterium
Lineage: Bacteria
Description: partial 16S ribosomal RNA
Rfam family: Bacterial small subunit ribosomal RNA
Source: RNAcentral